GGAGUCUGGACCGUGUCUCAGUUCCAGUGUGGGGGACCUUCCUCUCAGAACCCCUACUGAUCGAAGGCCAGGUGGGCCGUCACCCCGCCUGCUGCCUAAUCAGACGCAUCCCCAUCCCGAGGCGGCAAGCCUUUCGUGCAACUCUGAUGCCAUCAUCGCACGACAUCCGGCAUUAAUCCGGUUUUCACCGGGCUAUUCCGGACCCCAGGGAAGGUUGGAUACGCGUUACUCACCCGUGCGCCGGUCGCCAUCACCGUGUGCAAGCACACGACAUGCUGCCCCUCGACUUGCAUGUGUUAAGCCUGUAGCUAGCGUUCAUC
This 320-nucleotide ribosomal RNA is filed under the name uncultured Prevotella sp. Its description in RNAcentral is "partial 16S ribosomal RNA". The record is from RNAcentral. Lineage: Bacteria; Pseudomonadati; Bacteroidota; Bacteroidia; Bacteroidales; Prevotellaceae.